UUAAAGUGUAAUUAUAAAAAUUAAAUUAGUAUUAGUUAAGUUCUUUAAAAUUAAAGAUUUUGGCGGUAUUUUAGUCUUUUCAGAGGAACCUGUUCUGUAAUUGAUAUUCCACGAUUAAUUGAACUUUUUUUAAUAAUUUGUAUAUCAUCGUAGAUGAAUAUUUUAAAAGAAUUUAAUAUUCAAGAUUUUUUAUUAAAGUAAAAAUCAGAUCAAGGUGCAGUUUAUAAAAAAGAAGUAAUGGGUUACAAUAGAUUUAUUUAUAAGGAUAUGGAAAUGAAAAUUUUUAUUGAAUGUGGAUUUGAUAGUAAUUUAAUUUAUUUUAUUUAAAUGAUUUUAGCUCUAAAAUAUGU
RNAcentral lists this ribosomal RNA (350 nucleotides) under Pseudobothrideres conradsi. Its description in RNAcentral is "partial 12S ribosomal RNA". The record is from RNAcentral. Lineage: Eukaryota; Metazoa; Arthropoda; Insecta; Coleoptera; Bothrideridae.